RNAcentral lists this non-coding RNA (27 nucleotides) under Mus musculus (house mouse). Lineage: Eukaryota; Metazoa; Chordata; Mammalia; Rodentia; Muridae. The record is from RNAcentral.
UAAGGACCACAUUGGAGAGCGCUCCCC